Armillaria novae-zelandiae is the source of this 94-nucleotide non-coding RNA. The record is from the annotation of a GenBank genome assembly. NCBI's taxonomy places the organism in Eukaryota, Fungi, Basidiomycota, Agaricomycetes, Agaricales, Physalacriaceae.
GGGCACAUGGUGUAGUUGGUUUAUCACGCCCGCUUAGCAUGCUCUUGGUAGUAUCUGGUGCGGGAGGUGUUGGGUUCAAUUCCCAAUGUGUCCA